UACGUAGGCGGAAAAUUAAGUCAGUAGUGAAAUCCCGCAGCUUAACUGUGGAACUGUUAUUGAUACUGGUUUUCUUGAAUAUGGUUGAGGUAGGCGGAAUGUGUAAUGUAGCGGUGAAAUGCUUAGAUAUUACACAGAACACCGAUUGCGAAGGCAGCUUACUAAGCUAUGAUUGACGCUGAGGUACGAAAGCGUGGGGAGCGAACAGGAUUAGAUACCCUGGUAGUCC
RNAcentral lists this ribosomal RNA (229 nucleotides) under uncultured bacterium. RNAcentral describes it as "partial 16S ribosomal RNA". It matches the Rfam family "Bacterial small subunit ribosomal RNA", at positions 568 to 796 of the family's 1533-position model. The record is from RNAcentral.